GAAAUGCGAUAAGUAAUGUGAAUUGCAGAAUUCAGUGAAUCAUCGAAUCUUUGAACGCACCUUGCGCUCCUUGGUAUUCCUUGGAGCAUGCCUGUUUGAGUAUCAUGAAAUCUUCAAAGUAAAUCUUUUGUUAACUCAAUUGGUUUCUACUUUGGUAUUGGAGGUCUUUGCAGCUUCACACCUGCUCCUCUUUGUUCAUUAGCUGGAUCUCAGUGUUAUGCUUGGUUCCACUCGGCGUGAUAAGUUAUCUAUCGCUGAGGACACUGUAAAAGGUGGCCAAGGUAAAUGCAGAUGAACCGCUUCUAAUAGUCCAUUGACUUGGACAAUACUUUUAUGAUCUGAUCUCAAAUCAGGUAGGAAUACCCGCUGAACUUAAGA
RNAcentral lists this unclassified non-coding RNA (378 nucleotides) under plant metagenome. RNAcentral describes it as "partial contains 5.8S ribosomal RNA, internal transcribed spacer 2, and large subunit ribosomal RNA". The stretch from base 1 to 105 matches the Rfam family "5.8S ribosomal RNA", at positions 50 to 154 of the family's 154-position model. The record is from RNAcentral.